This 309-nucleotide ribosomal RNA is filed under the name uncultured eukaryote. RNAcentral's name for it is "partial 18S ribosomal RNA". It matches the Rfam family "Eukaryotic small subunit ribosomal RNA", at positions 1470 to 1796 of the family's 1831-position model. The record is from RNAcentral.
CCCUUAGAUGUUCUGGGCGGCCCGCGCACUACAAUGGCGUGUGCAGCGAGUGCCGAAGUAGAGUUUUCCGAGGUAUUCUUGCAAUGCUCGUUUUGAUGGGGAUAGACCCGUGCAACUGUUGGUUUUGAACGAGGAAUUCCUUGUAAGCAUGGUUUAUCAUCCGACGCUGAAUGCGUCCCUGCCCUUUGUACACACCGCCCGUCGCUCCUACCGAUGAGUCGUCCGGUGAAGUUCGUAGACCUCGUGAUCGCGGAUCACUGGGGGAAGCAAAAUGAACCUCGCGGUUUAGAGGAAGGAGAAGUCGUAACA